This 465-nucleotide ribosomal RNA is filed under the name Bengalia peuhi. RNAcentral's name for it is "partial 16S ribosomal RNA". It matches the Rfam family "Bacterial large subunit ribosomal RNA", at positions 1922 to 2596 of the family's 2925-position model. The record is from RNAcentral. Lineage: Eukaryota; Metazoa; Arthropoda; Insecta; Diptera; Calliphoridae.
UUUAAAUGGCCGCAGUAUACUGACUGUGCAAAGGUAGCAUAAUCAUUAGUCUUUUAAUUGAAGGCUGGUAUGAAUGGUUGGACGAGAUAUUAACUGUUUCAUAAAAAUUUAUAAUAGAAUUUUAUUUUUUAGUCAAAAAGCUAAAAUUUAUUUAAAAGACGAGAAGACCCUAUAAAUCUUUAUAUUUAAAUAAUUAUUAUUUUGUAGAUUUAUUUUGUUAUAAUUAUUGAUAAUAUUUUAUUGGGGUGAUAUUAAAAUUUAAUGAACUUUUAAUUGUUAAAAUCAUUAAUUUAUGAAUAAUUGAUCCAUUAUUAGUGAUUAAAAAAAUAAGUUACUUUAGGGAUAACAGCGUAAUUUUUUUGGAGAGUUCAUAUCGAUAAAAAAGAUUGCGACCUCGAUGUUGGAUUAAGAUAUAAUUUUAGGUGUAGAUGCUUAAAUUUUAAGUCUGUUCGACUUUUAAUUUCU